UGGGGAAUAUUGGGCAAUGGGCGCAAGCCUGACCCAGCAACGCCGCGUGAAGGAAGAAGGCUUUCGGGUUGUAAACUUCUUUUAUUCAGGGACGAAGCAAGUGACGGUACCUGAUGAAUAAGCCACGGCUAACUACGUGCC
This 141-nucleotide ribosomal RNA is filed under the name uncultured bacterium. RNAcentral's name for it is "partial 16S ribosomal RNA". It matches the Rfam family "Bacterial small subunit ribosomal RNA", at positions 355 to 509 of the family's 1533-position model. The record is from RNAcentral.